AUGAAGAGGAAGUGGAAUUUACAAGGAAGAUAUUCUGGGGGAAGUUUUUUGUUGUUGCUGCUAUUACUAGCCAGAAUGGCUUACAGCUCACAGAAAAGGUUCUCACUGGAGUCUGCUGUCUCCGGGUCCAGAAUGAAAUUUAGUACACCUUUUAACUUCAAACCUUAUCAUUCCUUUUGGGAAGUUACUACCUGAAACAUGCUUGUAACAUGCAGCUCUUUUGUAGAGAAGAGAUCAUUAAUACAUUGAAAUUGAAAUUGAUCAGUUCUGGUUUUCAGAUUUGUCCUUUUACCUAGAAUUUCUUUGCUUAUGGCUCAUUCACUUUGCUGUGCAACAGAAACGAACACAACAUUGUAAAGCAACUAUACUCCAAUAAAAUUGAUUAAAAAUAGUAAUAAUAAAAAAUAAAGGUCAUCCUCAAAAAAAAAAAUGGUCUAACAAUAGACUGUCUACAAGAAACUCACCUCAAAACUUCAAAUACAAGUACGUAAAUACCACAUAAGCAUUAUUUAAAAAAUAAAAAAAAAAGCAGUAGUGGCUACUUUAAUAUCAAGUAGAUUUUGGAGAAAAGAAAAUGCUUGAAGACAAAGAGAGACAUUUUAUAAUGAUAAAAGGAUUAAUCUUCCAGGAAGACAUAAUCAUUCCAAAUGUAACAGCACCAAAAACAGAGCAUCAAAAUACAUAAAACAAAGUUAUCCCAGUUGUCCUGUACCCACCCCAGGAAAGGGGCUGGCUGGUGGUCCAGAACAACUUGUGUAAUUACAGUGACUUUAGGCCAAAGUCUUAUGUGCCUUAUUACAGCUGCCACGCAGGGACCAGAAGGCAAGUAAAGAUACCACUCGAGAGAGAGCUCCAAGGACCAGAGCCAAAGGUACGUGUCUAGAGUAGUGGCCACGGGAAGAAAGGCUUUAGAGAAGGAAGUCAAAGACUCAGAGAGCUGGGAACAUAGAGCACAGACCUGUAGGUUGACGGAUACAAGCAGUAGCAUGAGAGAUUUCUUGCUAUAGCUGAGCAGGUGCCAUGCUCAGAUUGCAUGUUGCAUGAGAUCCAUGGGUACUUUUAAAGUGGCUGGGGCAUCAUUGCUAAGUCGCUUCAGUCGUGUCC
RNAcentral lists this long non-coding RNA (1104 nucleotides) under Capra hircus (goat). RNAcentral's name for it is "lncRNA (ENSCHIG00010005262.1)". The record is from RNAcentral. Lineage: Eukaryota; Metazoa; Chordata; Mammalia; Artiodactyla; Bovidae.